AUUGAACGCUGGCGGCAGGCCUAACACAUGCAAGUCGAACGAGUUGCGGACGGGUGAGUAAUGUCUGGGAAACUGCCUGAUGGAGGGGGAUAACUACUGGAAACGGUAGCUAAUACCGCAUACCAUCAUAUGUGCCCAUAUGGGAUUAGCUAGUUGGUGGGGUAACGGCUCACCAAGGCGACGCUCCCUAGCUGGUCUGAGAGGAUGACCAGACAGAAUGGAACUGAGAAACGGGCCAGACUCGUAGGGGAGGCAGAAGUGGGGAAUAUUGGACAAUGGGCGCAAGAAGGAUGCAGAAAUGCCGCGUGUAUGAAGAAGGCCUUAGGGUUGUAGAGUACUUUCAGCGGGGAGGCGUUACCCGGAGAAGAAGCACCGGCUAACUCCGUGCCAGCAGCCGCGGUAAUUC
This 406-nucleotide ribosomal RNA is filed under the name uncultured bacterium. RNAcentral describes it as "partial 16S ribosomal RNA". It matches the Rfam family "Bacterial small subunit ribosomal RNA", at positions 30 to 526 of the family's 1533-position model. The record is from RNAcentral.